CCUACGGGUGGCUGCAGUGGGGGAUAUUGGACAAUGGGGGAAACCCUGAUGCAGCGACGCCGCGUGAGGGAAGAAGUAUUUAGGUAUGUUAAGCUGUAUCAGCAGGGAAGAAAAUGGCAGUACCUGACCAACAAGCCCCGGCUAACUACGUUCCAGCAGCCGCGAUAAUACGGAGGGGGCAGGCGUUAUCCGGAUUUACUGGGUGUAAAGGGAGCGUAGACGGUUAUGUAAGUCUGGAGUGAAAGCCCGGGGCUCAACCCCGGGACUGCUUUGGAAACUGUGUAACUGGAGUACAGGAAGGGCAGGCGGAAUUCCUGGUGUAGCGGUGAAAUGCGUAGAUAUCAGGAGGAACACCGGCGGCGAAGGCGGCCUGCUGGACUGAAACUUACGUUGAGGCUCGAAAGCGUGGGGAGCAAACAGGAUUAGAUACCCGUGUAGUC
RNAcentral lists this ribosomal RNA (440 nucleotides) under uncultured bacterium. RNAcentral's name for it is "partial 16S ribosomal RNA". It matches the Rfam family "Bacterial small subunit ribosomal RNA", at positions 338 to 795 of the family's 1533-position model. The record is from RNAcentral.